This 420-nucleotide ribosomal RNA is filed under the name uncultured bacterium. RNAcentral's name for it is "bacterial SSU rRNA". It matches the Rfam family "Bacterial small subunit ribosomal RNA", at positions 355 to 775 of the family's 1533-position model. The record is from RNAcentral.
UGGGGAAUAUUGGUCAAUGGGCGCAAGCCUGAACCAGCCAUGCCGCGUGCAGGAAGACGGCCCUAUGGGUUGUAAACUGCUUUUGUCAGGGAAUAAACCCCCGCUCGUGAGCGGGGCUGAAGGUACCUGAAGAAUAAGCAUCGGCUAACUCCGUGCCAGCCGCGGUAAUACGGAGGAUGCAAGCGUUAUCCGGAUUCAUUGGGUUUAAAGGGUGCGCAGGCGGAUUGGUAAGUCAGGGGUGAAAUCCCACAGCUCAACUGUGGAACUGCCUUUGAUACUGUCAGUCUAGAGUAUAGUUGAAGUGGGCGGAAUGUGUCAUGUAGCGGUGAAAUGCUUAGAUAUGACACAGAACACCGAUCGCGAAGGCAGCUCGCUAAGCUAUAACUGACGCUCAUGCACGAAAGCGUGGGGAUCAAACAG